CGGAGGGAUUCUUGGACAAGGACCCACCUGGAGCAGCGAGACAGCCGCUGGGCUGCCUUCAGUGGCGAACGCCCCAAAGGGAAGAGUUGGCCUCGAGACAGCACCAGCCUGGGCUGUGAUGCCAGGCAGCCGGGUGGUCAUCGUCAGCUCCCGGACUGAGCCACCAUGGCUCCCGUCAGGGAAACUCACUCUAAUGGAGACUUUCCCCAAUAGGCCUUCUCUCAAAAGAAAGGAAAACGGAGAAAACCCCCUCACCACCUCAUGGGGACAUGAAUUCCUAUCUCUCAGGGGCUCAAAGGAUUGUACGGAUUUUUAAAUUUCGAUUCAUCUAUACAGCAGCUCAGCUAAGGGAGAAAAGGUGGGAGAAGGGAAGGAUCACUUUCCCUCCACAACAGAUGAGGACACAGAAGGUCCAGGUCUCAGGAGGUCUACAGCAAGUUGAGACCAGCAGAGGUUUUGGUUCCUGCAUUUGAGAUCCCUACUUAAAGCACAAGUUCCUGCCUAGUC
Long non-coding RNA from Ornithorhynchus anatinus (platypus), 507 nucleotides. RefSeq lists it as uncharacterized. The transcript has 2 exons. The record is from RefSeq and is a predicted model, not a curated record. Lineage: Eukaryota; Metazoa; Chordata; Mammalia; Monotremata; Ornithorhynchidae.